RNAcentral lists this long non-coding RNA (1399 nucleotides) under Calidris pygmaea (Spoon-billed sandpiper). RNAcentral describes it as "lncRNA (ENSCPGG00000002841.1)". The record is from RNAcentral. Lineage: Eukaryota; Metazoa; Chordata; Aves; Charadriiformes; Scolopacidae.
AGCGUGUCCUAUGCCUUUUUCUUUAUCAAAAAAUGAAUGGUCAUGAUUUAUGGUGGGGAAAACUUACUUGAUUUUUUCCCUUGUAGUGGAAGUUUCCCAUCCUCUCUCCAUCCCUUUCCCGUGGCAUGCCAAGGUCAACUUAUAUGUGAAGCAUUCAGCACGCAGUCACCGGGAUGAUCUUACUGUCAUUUGGAAUGAGAAGGACCAGAUAUCAGUGUCAUCUUCUCUGAAGUUUGGAAGAGACCGUACGAACUACAGAGCUGCCAUUGCCCACCCAUUUAAUUACACUCUGAAGCAACUGGAGGUGCAUUCCCUGUCAAAAAGAAGAGGCAGAAAGUACAACCAGCAGCUGCAGCUCCAAGGGAAUGGUGGGCAGCCUGCUGACAUCCGACUGGCCCUGGAGGAUAAAUCAAAGGUGAACCACACCACCUGGCGUGGCUGUUUGACACUCUCUUCAGGGCAGCUUCAGAGAGUAUUAACUAUGGAACACCUGCAUGCAUGUGGGUCUGUAGAGCAAAGAUCAGCAUUGUUUAAUGAAUAUCUAGAUCUGAACUGGGAUGACAAAAAAUUCAAACACAAUUUAACAUAUGAGAGAAAUCACUUCUGGUAUCCUGAUAAAUUUCAGUUAGAAGCUGUUCUGGAAAAUAUUUUCCUGACCUCAUGCACCAAACAGAAAAUUCUGGGUAAAAUGGAAACAAACUACUCCUCUUGCCUGGACUAUUAUAUGAGCUUUGAGCUCUGUGACCUUCCAGAUGUAAUUGUUUUCUCUGGAAAACACCAGCUCAACAAAGAUGACAUCAUUUUGCAAUCAGAGGGCAGAUUCCGCUUUGGUGAUCGUGAGGGAGAUGAGGGGUUGAUUGGAGUAUCCUUAAAAAAUCAGAGUUCAGCUGAUAAGAAGAACUAUUCCUUGGAAAUUGAAUUAAGAGCCUUUGAAGAUAUUUGGCUAGACCUGACAGGAAUUGCUACUUCCUCAUCCGUUCAGAGCCAAAUCCUGGUGGAGGGAAUUAUUGAUCAGAAAGAGAAAGUAAAAGUGGCUGCUUCUAAAGGAAAGGAGUGUUUUCAGUGCUACAUGGGGUAUUUGAAAGGCAAUUUGGAAGAAGGAAUGGAAGUCAGUGCUUGUACUGAUGGGCAACAGAUGGCUACCGUUAAUACCUAUCUCAACAUCAAUGGUGAAAGGCAAGAAAACAUGGGACAAAUGGCUCUGGCAGCUGUUAAUGGAAGCUUGAGUUUUCUGGCUCAUGGAUGCGGGGAUCCAGUUCUUAAGGCUGAGUACAAACUAUAUGAAAUUGGGAGCCUUCUGAAAGCCAAACUGAUGGAGAAGUUGAAGAAGUUUGAUGAAUAUAUGUGGAGAUGGAGGAGAUCAGUAAGUAUCCGUACAUCAUCUGUGAAAGCACCAUGA